Molecule: ribosomal RNA, 559 nt
Filed under: uncultured Bacteroidales bacterium
Lineage: Bacteria; Pseudomonadati; Bacteroidota; Bacteroidia; Bacteroidales
Description: bacterial SSU rRNA
Rfam family: Bacterial small subunit ribosomal RNA
Source: RNAcentral
GCGGAUUAAUACCGUAUGAGGUCAUUUGAUGGCAUCUGAUUAUGACGAAAGGUUUGGCGGAUAAGGAUGGGGAUGCGUCCGAUUAGCUUGUUGGCGGGGUAACGGCCCACCAAGGCGACGAUCGGUAGGGGUUCUGAGAGGAAGGUCCCCCACAUUGGAACUGAGACACGGUCCAAACUCCUACGGGAGGCAGCAGUGAGGAAUAUUGGUCAAUGGGCGAGAGCCUGAACCAGCCAAGUAGCGUGCAGGAUGACGGCCCUAUGGGUUGUAAACUGCUUUUAUGCGGGGAUAAAGUGAGGGAUGCAUCCCUUUUUGCAGGUACCGCAUGAAUAAGGACCGGCUAAUUCCGUGCCAGCAGCCGCGGUAAUACGGAAGGUCCGGGCGUUAUCCGGAUUUAUUGGGUUUAAAGGGAGCGUAGGCUGGAGAUUAAGCGUGUUGUGAAAUGCCGCGGCUCAACCGUGGCACUGCAGCGCGAACUGGUUUCCUUGAGUGCGCUGAAAGUGGGCGGAAUUUGUGGUGUAGCGGUGAAAUGCUUAGAUAUCACGAAGAACUCCGAUUG